Molecule: transfer RNA, 60 nt
Filed under: Cryptocellus narino
Lineage: Eukaryota; Metazoa; Arthropoda; Arachnida; Ricinulei; Ricinoididae
Description: tRNA-Phe
Source: RNAcentral
GUUGCUGUAGCUUAAAGAGAGUGAGGCUUUGAAGAUGCUAAGGUGAUAAUUCCAGUAAUG